CCAGACUCCUACGGGAGGCAGCAGUCGGGAAUAUUGCGCAAUGGAGGAAACUCUGACGCAGUGACGCCGCGUAUAGGAAGAAGGUUUUCGGAUUGUAAACUAUUGUCGUUAGGGAAGAUAAAAGACUGUACCUAAGGAGGAAGCCCCGGCUAACUAUGUGCCAGCAGCCGCGGUAAUACAUAGGGGGCAAGCGUUAUCCGGAUUUACUGGGUGUAAAGGGAGCGUAGACGGCAGCGCAAGUCUGAAGUGAAAUGCCGGGGCUUAACCCCGGAACUGCUUUGGAAACUGUGCGGCUGGAGUGCAGGAGGGGUAAGCGGAAUUCCUAGUGUAGCGGUGAAAUGCGUAGAUAUUAGGAGGAACACCGGUGGCGAAGGCGGCUUACUGGACUGUAACUGACGUUGAGGCUCGAAAGCGUGGGGAGCAAACAGGAUUAGAUACCCCCGUAAA
Molecule: ribosomal RNA, 447 nt
Filed under: uncultured bacterium
Lineage: Bacteria
Description: bacterial SSU rRNA
Rfam family: Bacterial small subunit ribosomal RNA
Source: RNAcentral